Molecule: ribosomal RNA, 163 nt
Filed under: Populus koreana
Lineage: Eukaryota; Viridiplantae; Streptophyta; Magnoliopsida; Malpighiales; Salicaceae
Description: 5.8S ribosomal RNA
Rfam family: 5.8S ribosomal RNA
About the family: 5.8S ribosomal RNA (5.8S rRNA) is a component of the large subunit of the eukaryotic ribosome. It is transcribed by RNA polymerase I as part of the 45S precursor that also contains 18S and 28S rRNA.
Source: RNAcentral
GAACGACUCUCGGCAACGGAUAUCUCGGCUCUCGCAUCGAUGAAAAACGUAGCGAAAUGCGAUACUUGGUGUGAAUUGCAGAAUCCCGUGAACCAUCGAGUCUUUGAACGCAAGUUGCGCCCGAGGCCUCCUGGUCGAGGGCACGUCUGCCUGGGUGUCACGC